Molecule: non-coding RNA, 107 nt
Organism: Nicotiana attenuata
Lineage: Eukaryota; Viridiplantae; Streptophyta; Magnoliopsida; Solanales; Solanaceae
Source: Rfam
AUUCUGCUAUGAUGACACCUUCGAACUAAUUCCUUAAACCUCUCCCAUGCUUCAAACACAGUUUCAGUCUCGUGAUGGCAGAAGUUAUGGAUUUCUCUUCUAAAACU